RNAcentral lists this transfer RNA (65 nucleotides) under Pontia protodice (checkered white). RNAcentral describes it as "tRNA-Val". Lineage: Eukaryota; Metazoa; Arthropoda; Insecta; Lepidoptera; Pieridae. The record is from RNAcentral.
UCAAACUAAUUAUAAUAAUAAUUUCUUUUCAAUGUAAAUGAAAUACUUUUACAAGCUCUAAUUUG